Molecule: ribosomal RNA, 2934 nt
Filed under: Dickeya oryzae
Lineage: Bacteria; Pseudomonadati; Pseudomonadota; Gammaproteobacteria; Enterobacterales; Pectobacteriaceae
Description: 23S ribosomal RNA
Rfam family: Bacterial large subunit ribosomal RNA
Source: RNAcentral
GGGUUGUGAGGUUAAGCGACUAAGCGUACACGGUGGAUGCCUAGGCAGUCAGAGGCGAUGAAGGGCGUGCUAAUCUGCGAAAAGCGUCGGCAAGGUGAUAUGAACCGUUAUACCCGACGAUACCCGAAUGGGGAAACCCAGUGUGAUUCGUCACACUAUCAUUAACUGAAUCCAUAGGUUAAUGAGGCGAACCGGGGGAACUGAAACAUCUCAGUACCCCGAGGAAAAGAAAUCAACCGAGAUUCCCCCAGUAGCGGCGAGCGAACGGGGAGGAGCCCAGAACCUGAAUCGGCUUGUGUGUCAGUGGAAGCGUCUGGAAAGGCGCACGAUACAGGGUGACAGUCCCGUACACGAAGAUGCACAGGUCGUGAGUUCGACGAGUAGGGCGGGACACGUGGUAUCCUGUCUGAACAUGGGGGGACCAUCCUCCAAGGCUAAAUACUCCUGACUGACCGAUAGUGAACCAGUACCGUGAGGGAAAGGCGAAAAGAACCCCGGCGAGGGGAGUGAAAUAGAACCUGAAACCGUGUACGUACAAGCAGUGGGAGCACCUUUUAGGUGUGACUGCGUACCUUUUGUAUAAUGGGUCAGCGACUUAUAUUCUGUAGCAAGGUUAACCGAAUAGGGGAGCCGCAGGGAAACCGAGUCUUAACUGGGCGUCUAGUUGCAGGGUAUAGACCCGAAACCCGGUGAUCUAGCCAUGGGCAGGUUGAAGGUUGGGUAACACUAACUGGAGGACCGAACCGACUAAUGUUGAAAAAUUAGCGGAUGACUUGUGGCUGGGGGUGAAAGGCCAAUCAAACCGGGAGAUAGCUGGUUCUCCCCGAAAGCUAUUUAGGUAGCGCCUCGUGAACUCAUCUUCGGGGGUAGAGCACUGUUUCGGCUAGGGGGCCAUCCCGGCUUACCAACCCGAUGCAAACUGCGAAUACCGAAGAAUGUUAUCACGGGAGACACACGGCGGGUGCUAACGUCCGUCGUGAAGAGGGAAACAACCCAGACCGCCAGCUAAGGUCCCAAAGUCAUGGUUAAGUGGGAAACGAUGUGGGAAGGCCCAGACAGCCAGGAUGUUGGCUUAGAAGCAGCCAUCAUUUAAAGAAAGCGUAAUAGCUCACUGGUCGAGUCGGCCUGCGCGGAAGAUGUAACGGGGCUAAAACCAUGCACCGAAGCUGCGGCAGCGACGCUUAGGCGUUGUUGGGUAGGGGAGCGUUCUGUAAGCCUGUGAAGGUGGCCUGUGAGGGCUGCUGGAGGUAUCAGAAGUGCGAAUGCUGACAUAAGUAACGAUAAUGCGGGUGAAAAACCCGCACGCCGGAAGACCAAGGGUUCCUGUCCAACGUUAAUCGGGGCAGGGUGAGUCGACCCCUAAGGCGAGGCUGAAAAGCGUAGUCGAUGGGAAACAGGUUAAUAUUCCUGUACUUGGUGUUACUGCGAAGGGGGGACGGAGAAGGCUAUGUCAUCCGGGCGACGGUUGUCCCGGUUUAAGCGUGCAGGUGGGUGGACCAGGUAAAUCCGGUCUGCUGCUAACACUGAGGCGUGAUGACGAGGCACUACGGUGCUGAAGUGACAGAUGCCCUGCUUCCAGGAAAAGCCUCUAAGCAUCAGGUAACAUUGAAUCGUACCCCAAACCGACACAGGUGGUCAGGUAGAGAAUACUCAGGCGCUUGAGAGAACUCGGGUGAAGGAACUAGGCAAAAUGGUGCCGUAACUUCGGGAGAAGGCACGCUCCUGGUGGUGAAGUCCCUUGCGGAUGGAGCUGACGGGAGUCGCAGAUACCAGCUGGCUGCAACUGUUUAAUAAAAACACAGCACUGUGCAAACACGAAAGUGGACGUAUACGGUGUGACGCCUGCCCGGUGCCGGAAGGUUAAUUGAUGGGGUUAUCCGUAAGGAGAAGCUCUUGAUCGAAGCCCCGGUAAACGGCGGCCGUAACUAUAACGGUCCUAAGGUAGCGAAAUUCCUUGUCGGGUAAGUUCCGACCUGCACGAAUGGCGUAAUGAUGGCCAGGCUGUCUCCACCCGAGACUCAGUGAAAUUGAACUCGCUGUGAAGAUGCAGUGUACCCGCGGCAAGACGGAAAGACCCCGUGAACCUUUACUAUAGCUUGACACUGAACCUUGAGCCUUGAUGUGUAGGAUAGGUGGGAGGCUUUGAAGUGUGGACGCCAGUCUGCAUGGAGCCGACCUUGAAAUACCACCCUUUAAUGUUUGAUGUUCUAACCUGGGCCCGUAAUCCGGGCUGGGGACAGUGUCUGGUGGGUAGUUUGACUGGGGCGGUCUCCUCCCAAAGAGUAACGGAGGAGCACGAAGGUUAGCUAAUCCUGGUCGGACAUCAGGAGGUUAGUGCAAAGGCAUAAGCUAGCUUGACUGCGAGAGUGACGGCUCGAGCAGGUGCGAAAGCAGGUCUUAGUGAUCCGGUGGUUCUGAAUGGAAGGGCCAUCGCUCAACGGAUAAAAGGUACUCCGGGGAUAACAGGCUGAUACCGCCCAAGAGUUCAUAUCGACGGCGGUGUUUGGCACCUCGAUGUCGGCUCAUCACAUCCUGGGGCUGAAGUAGGUCCCAAGGGUAUGGCUGUUCGCCAUUUAAAGUGGUACGCGAGCUGGGUUUAGAACGUCGUGAGACAGUUCGGUCCCUAUCUGCCGUGGGCGUUGGAAGAUUGAGGGGGGUUGCUCCUAGUACGAGAGGACCGGAGUGAACGCACCGCUGGUGUUCGGGUUGUCAUGCCAAUGGCACUGCCCGGUAGCUACGUGCGGAAGAGAUAACCGCUGAAAGCAUCUAAGCGGGAAACUUGCCCCGAGAUGAGUCUUCCCUGGGCCCCUGAGGCCCCUGAAGGGACGUUCGAGACGAGGACGUUGAUAGGCUGGGUGUGUAAGCGUAGUGAUACGUUGAGCUAACCAGUACUAAUGACCCGAGAGGCUUAACCUUACAACACCGAAGGUGUUU